Molecule: small nuclear RNA, 54 nt
Filed under: Otolemur garnettii (small-eared galago)
Lineage: Eukaryota; Metazoa; Chordata; Mammalia; Primates; Galagidae
Description: U7 small nuclear RNA
Rfam family: U7 small nuclear RNA
About the family: Animal histone pre-mRNAs are spliced by a different mechanism than nuclear pre-mRNAs and self-splicing introns.
Source: Rfam by way of RNAcentral
CAGUGUUACAGCUCUUUUAGAAUUUGUCUAGCAGGUUUUCUAGUCUCCACCCCC